UACGUAGGGUGCAAGCGUUGUCCGGAAUUAUUGGGCGUAAAGAGUUCGUAGGCGGUCUGUCGCGUCUGCUGUGAAAACUCGGGGCUUAACCCCGGGCCUGCAGUGGGUACGGGCAGACUAGAGUGCGGUAGGGGAGACUGGAAUUCCUGGUGUAGCGGUGAAAUGCGCAGAUAUCAGGAGGAACACCGGUGGCGAAGGCGGGUCUCUGGGCCGUAACUGACGCUGAGGAGCGAAAGCAUGGGGAGCGAACAGG
This 253-nucleotide ribosomal RNA is filed under the name uncultured bacterium. Its description in RNAcentral is "partial 16S ribosomal RNA". It matches the Rfam family "Bacterial small subunit ribosomal RNA", at positions 524 to 776 of the family's 1533-position model. The record is from RNAcentral.